CAGCAGCCGCGGGAAUACGUAGGUGGCAAGCGUUGACCGGAAUUAUUGGGCGUAAAGGGCUCGCAGGCGGUUUCUUAAGUCUGAUGUGAAAGCCCCCGGCUCAACCGGGGAGGGUCAUUGAAAACUGGGAAACUUGAGUGCAGAAGAGGAGAGUGGAAUUCCACGUGUAGCGGUGAAAUGCGUAGAGAUGUGGAGGAACACCAGUGGCGAAGGCGACUCUCUGGUCUGUAACUGACGCUGAGGAGCGAAAGCGUGGGGAGCGAACAGGAUUAGAGACCCCCGUAGUCCCUGUCUCUUAUAU
This 301-nucleotide ribosomal RNA is filed under the name uncultured bacterium. Its description in RNAcentral is "partial 16S ribosomal RNA". It matches the Rfam family "Bacterial small subunit ribosomal RNA", at positions 509 to 809 of the family's 1533-position model. The record is from RNAcentral.